UGCAUUUUGUAGCUAAGUUUUUGUUCAAGUUUGUGACAAAUUUCCUUAGUGAAAUUCCUAGAAAUUACUGGGUUAAAGGGAAUGAUUUUUUUUUUUUUUGUAUUUCAAGAUUUUUUAUAUGUCUUAGCAAAUCUUUCUUACAGAAAAGUUUACUCAUUUAUACACUCAGUAAGGGUGUGUGUUUCUCAUUUAAAAAAUCAUAUAUUUUUCUUUUUUAGGCUUUGAAAUUUCUGAAAACCAGAAGAGGCAGGCUGCAAUGACUGUGAGAAAAGUCCCUAAGCAAAAAGGUGUCAACUCUGCCCGCUCAGUUCCUCCUUCCUACCCACCACCGCAGGACCCGUUAAACCACGGCCAGUACCUGGUCCCCGACGGCAUCGCUCAGUCGCAGGUCUUUGAGUUCACCGAACCCAAGCGCAGCCAGUCACCAUUCUGGCAAAACUUCAGCAGGUUAACCCCCUUCAAAAAAUGAUACCUACAGGGAGGCAGAUAAUUUUAAAAUAAAGUAAAUAAAAUUA
This 515-nucleotide long non-coding RNA is filed under the name Homo sapiens (human). Its description in RNAcentral is "non-protein coding lnc-SPIN4-2:2". The record is from RNAcentral. Lineage: Eukaryota; Metazoa; Chordata; Mammalia; Primates; Hominidae.